RNAcentral lists this ribosomal RNA (745 nucleotides) under Hylophorbus sp. 'Adelberts'. Its description in RNAcentral is "partial small subunit ribosomal RNA". The stretch from base 1 to 496 matches the Rfam family "Bacterial small subunit ribosomal RNA", at positions 796 to 1533 of the family's 1533-position model. The record is from RNAcentral. Lineage: Eukaryota; Metazoa; Chordata; Amphibia; Anura; Microhylidae.
UUAGCCGUAAAAUAUUUACUUACACCAAAAUCGCCAGGGAAUUACGAGCCCAAGCUUAAAACCCAAAGGACUUGACGGUUUUCCAUCCCCCUAGAGGAGCCUGUUCUAUAAUCGAUUAUCCCCGGUCAACCUCACCACCUCUUGAAUAUACAGCCUGUAUACCUCCGUCGCAAGCUUACCCUGUGAAUGCACUAAGUGGGCUUAAAGAUUCUUACAUCCACACGUCAGGUCAAGGUGCAGCCUACGAGCUGGAAAGAAAUGGGCUACAAUUUCUAUCUUAGAAUAAACGAAAGACUACAUGAAAUAUAACCUAAAGGCGGAUUUAGUAGUAAAAGGAAAAUAGAGAGUUCCUUUUAAUUGGGCACUGGAAUGCGUACACACCGCCCGUCAUCCUCUUCAGAUAACAGACAAAGUCACUAACACCACAUACCUUCACAGAAGAGGCAAGUCGUAACAUGGUAAGCGUACUGGAAAGUGCGCUUGGAACAACAAAAUGUAGCUUAACAAAAGUAUCUUGCUUACACCAAGAACAUGUCUGUAAAAAUCUGACCAUUUUGAGCUUAAAACUCAGUCCUACUUUAUUUAAUAACACACACCAGCCAACAACAAAAUAAAUAAAACAUUUUCUUAACUUAGUAAAGGCGAUUAAAAAGUGCCUAGGAACCCAAACAUUAGUACCGCAAGGGAAAAGUGAAAGAAAAGUGAAAUAAAUUUAAAGCACCAUAAAGUAAAGAUUUACUCUUGU